This 1529-nucleotide ribosomal RNA is filed under the name Klebsiella aerogenes. RNAcentral's name for it is "bacterial SSU rRNA". It matches the Rfam family "Bacterial small subunit ribosomal RNA". The record is from RNAcentral. Lineage: Bacteria; Pseudomonadati; Pseudomonadota; Gammaproteobacteria; Enterobacterales; Enterobacteriaceae.
AGAGUUUGAUCAUGGCUCAGAUUGAACGCUGGCGGCAGGCCUAACACAUGCAAGUCGAGCGGUAGCACAGAGAGCUUGCUCUCGGGUGACGAGCGGCGGACGGGUGAGUAAUGUCUGGGAAACUGCCUGAUGGAGGGGGAUAACUACUGGAAACGGUAGCUAAUACCGCAUAACGUCGCAAGACCAAAGUGGGGGACCUUCGGGCCUCAUGCCAUCAGAUGUGCCCAGAUGGGAUUAGCUGGUAGGUGGGGUAACGGCUCACCUAGGCGACGAUCCCUAGCUGGUCUGAGAGGAUGACCAGCCACACUGGAACUGAGACACGGUCCAGACUCCUACGGGAGGCAGCAGUGGGGAAUAUUGCACAAUGGGCGCAAGCCUGAUGCAGCCAUGCCGCGUGUGUGAAGAAGGCCUUCGGGUUGUAAAGCACUUUCAGCGGGGAGGAAGGCGGUGAGGUUAAUAACCUCACCGAUUGACGUUACCCGCAGAAGAAGCACCGGCUAACUCCGUGCCAGCAGCCGCGGUAAUACGGAGGGUGCAAGCGUUAAUCGGAAUUACUGGGCGUAAAGCGCACGCAGGCGGUCUGUCAAGUCGGAUGUGAAAUCCCCGGGCUCAACCUGGGAACUGCAUUCGAAACUGGCAGGCUAGAGUCUUGUAGAGGGGGGUAGAAUUCCAGGUGUAGCGGUGAAAUGCGUAGAGAUCUGGAGGAAUACCGGUGGCGAAGGCGGCCCCCUGGACAAAGACUGACGCUCAGGUGCGAAAGCGUGGGGAGCAAACAGGAUUAGAUACCCUGGUAGUCCACGCUGUAAACGAUGUCGAUUUGGAGGUUGUGCCCUUGAGGCGUGGCUUCCGGAGCUAACGCGUUAAAUCGACCGCCUGGGGAGUACGGCCGCAAGGUUAAAACUCAAAUGAAUUGACGGGGGCCCGCACAAGCGGUGGAGCAUGUGGUUUAAUUCGAUGCAACGCGAAGAACCUUACCUGGUCUUGACAUCCACAGAACUUAGCAGAGAUGCUUUGGUGCCUUCGGGAACUGUGAGACAGGUGCUGCAUGGCUGUCGUCAGCUCGUGUUGUGAAAUGUUGGGUUAAGUCCCGCAACGAGCGCAACCCUUAUCCUUUGUUGCCAGCGGUUAGGCCGGGAACUCAAAGGAGACUGCCAGUGAUAAACUGGAGGAAGGUGGGGAUGACGUCAAGUCAUCAUGGCCCUUACGACCAGGGCUACACACGUGCUACAAUGGCAUAUACAAAGAGAAGCGACCUCGCGAGAGCAAGCGGACCUCAUAAAGUAUGUCGUAGUCCGGAUUGGAGUCUGCAACUCGACUCCAUGAAGUCGGAAUCGCUAGUAAUCGUAGAUCAGAAUGCUACGGUGAAUACGUUCCCGGGCCUUGUACACACCGCCCGUCACACCAUGGGAGUGGGUUGCAAAAAGAAGUAGGUAGCUUAACCUUCGGGAGGGCGCUUACCACUUUGUGAUUCAUGACUGGGGUGAAGUCGUAACAAGGUAACCGUAGGGGAACCUGCGGUUGGAUCACCU